This 254-nucleotide ribosomal RNA is filed under the name uncultured bacterium. RNAcentral's name for it is "partial 16S ribosomal RNA". It matches the Rfam family "Bacterial small subunit ribosomal RNA", at positions 335 to 586 of the family's 1533-position model. The record is from RNAcentral.
AUCCUACGGGGCGCAGCAGUGAGGAAUAUUGGUCAAUGGGCGGGAGCCUGAACCAGCCAAGUCGCGUGAGGGAAGACGGUCCUAUGGAUUGUAAACCUCUUUAGGCGGGGAGCAAUGCCGGGCACGCGUGUCCGGAGGGAGAGUACCCGCAGAAUAAGCAUCGGCUAACUCCGUGCCAGCAGCCGCGGUAAUACGGAGGAUGCGAGCGUUGUCCGGAAUCACUGGGCGUAAAGGGCGCGUAGGCGGUAAUAUAA